This 413-nucleotide long non-coding RNA is filed under the name Nicotiana benthamiana. Its description in RNAcentral is "long non-coding RNA (NBEN_LNC031859)". The record is from RNAcentral. Lineage: Eukaryota; Viridiplantae; Streptophyta; Magnoliopsida; Solanales; Solanaceae.
UUGCACACGAUCAUCAAGGGUUUGUUCGUAAAGAGUGAUUUGAUGCUGUGGAAAAGAGCAGCCUGCUGCGCAAUGCUAUAGCCACAAGACCCAGAAAUAUCAAGGAAAAACAACACAGCAGCCCUCAGAUGUGCUAGAGCUGUAAUACUACACAUCUCAAUGAUAUUGCGAUCCUCAAAUGGCCUAUCCAGAAUACCAGGAGUGUCGAUCACUUGAUACCUCAGAUAUUUGUAGUCAGUAUGACCGACAAACAAGGACUUUGUAGUGAAAGCAUACACAUCUCAAUGAUAUUACGAUCCUCAAAUGGCCUAUCCAGAAUACCAGGAGUGUCGAUCACUCGAUACCUCAGAUAUUUGUAGUCAGUAUGACCGACAAACAAGGACUUUGUAGUGAAAGCAUAAGGCUGCACAUCC